Molecule: ribosomal RNA, 465 nt
Filed under: Weissella confusa
Lineage: Bacteria; Bacillati; Bacillota; Bacilli; Lactobacillales; Lactobacillaceae
Description: bacterial SSU rRNA
Rfam family: Bacterial small subunit ribosomal RNA
Source: RNAcentral
CCUACGGGCGGCUGCAGUGGGGAAUAUUGCACAAUGGGGGAAACCCUGAUGCAGCCAUGCCGCGUGUGUGAAGAAGGCCUUCGGGUUGUAAAGCACUUUCAGCGAGGAGGAAAGGGGGAUAGCUAAUACCUAUUCUCUGUGACGUUACUCGCAGAAGAAGCACCGGCUAACUCCGUGCCAGCAGCCGCGGUAAUACGGAGGGUGCAAGCGUUAAUCGGAAUUACUGGGCGUAAAGCGCACGCAGGCGGUCAGAUAAGUCAGAUGUGAAAGCCCCGGGCUCAACCUGGGAACUGCAUUUGAAACUGUCUGACUAGAGUCUUGUAGAGGGGGGUAGAAUUCCAGGUGUAGCGGUGAAAUGCGUAGAGAUCUGGAGGAAUACCGGUGGCGAAGGCGGCCCCCUGGACAAAGACUGACGCUCAGGUGCGAAAGCGUGGGGAGCAAACAGGAUUAGAUACCCUAGUAGUC